This is a long non-coding RNA of Ananas comosus (pineapple), 408 nucleotides long. RefSeq lists it as uncharacterized. The record is from RefSeq and is a predicted model, not a curated record. The transcript is spliced from 3 exons. Lineage: Eukaryota; Viridiplantae; Streptophyta; Magnoliopsida; Poales; Bromeliaceae.
UUUCUGUUUCUCACAACUGUUUGCUUUUAUUCGGGAAAAGAUUCAAUGGGCAUUUGAGAAAAAAAGGCAUCAGCGGACACAUUAAGGUAGACUAUGAGGAGAAGGUUUUAACAGUGGAGGUUAAAAUGCCUCAAGAUGCAUCUGGCAACACUGUUCGGGAUACAAGAGGGCUUUCAGGUGGAGAACGAUCGUUUUCCACUCUUUGCUUUGCUUUGGCUCUCCACGAAAUGACUGAAGCACCUUUUCGAGCCAUGAAUGAAUUUGAUGUAUUUAUGGUAAGUAGCCAUUUAGAUUUUCCCUGUAAACUGUUUGGUAUUUUGAUAUUCCUGAUUUAGCUCUAUUCAAGUUUUUGCUUAUAUUUAUAUGUAACAAACAAACUUUUUAGGGAGUUUAUUUGCAAUUUUGUUU